Molecule: ribosomal RNA, 497 nt
Filed under: uncultured bacterium
Lineage: Bacteria
Description: partial 16S ribosomal RNA
Rfam family: Bacterial small subunit ribosomal RNA
Source: RNAcentral
GAUGAACGCUGGCGGCGUGCCUAAUACAUGCAAGUCGAGCGAACAGACGAGGAGCUUGCUCCUCUGACGUUAGCGGCGGACGGGUGAGUAACACGUGGAUAACCUACCUAUAAGACUGGGAUAACUUCGGGAAACCGGAGCUAAUGCCGGAUAAUAUAUUGAACCGCAUGGUUCAAUAGUGAAAGACGGUUUUGCUGUCACUUAUAGAUGGAUCCGCGCCGCAUUAGCUAGUUGGUAAGGUAACGGCUUACCAAGGCAACGAUGCGUAGCCGACCUGAGAGGGUGAUCGGCCACACUGGAACUGAGACACGGUCCAGACUCCUACGGGAGGCAGCAGUAGGGAAUCUUCCGCAAUGGGCGAAAGCCUGACGGAGCAACGCCGCGUGAGUGAUGAAGGUCUUCGGAUCGUAAAACUCUGUUAUUAGGGAAGAACAAAUGUGUAAGUAACUAUGCACGUCUUGACGGUACCUAAUCAGAAAGCCACGGCUAACUACGUG